UUCUGUAAACUAUCUAGUCAGCGAGCUUACCUAUGCAUUGUGACGUCAUAAACUUGGCAGCGACGUCAUGUUAGUCCUUCACAAGCCGCGAUGGCUGCUUAUUUUGACACAAUAACACAGACUUUCACAGCGCUUGAGACUUCAUGUAAUAACAGUAUGGUCCUAUGGAUUUCAGUACCAAAACUGAUUUUCUACCGUUUUUCUUCCAAGAAAGUUCUGAACAGCUGAAUCCUGGAUCAGCCUAGAUGUUAUUUCACUGGAUUAUUUAAUGAAUAUUACUCUACUGAGUUACCUGGUUACAUGGAUCAGCUAAGAUGUUGUUUCACUGGAUUAUUUAAUUGGGCAUAUAAUUGGAUAAUUCUGUCCUCAACCUGGAAGAUAUGUUUUAUUCCUAACCAUCUAUAAUCCAUUCUCUAUGAAGUUCAGCCUGUCUGCCCAAAUUCCUUUGGAAAUACAUAGUUAGUCAACCAACAUAGAAACAAUCAAACUUGAAGGGAAAGAAUACUAUAAUGUGGAUCCUGGGGAUCAACAGUGAAAAAUCUUAAUGACCCUCUUGACUAGGUCUAAAGGCUGUAACCUUUAUAACUGAUGUAAGAUGAUCUGAUUGCAUGGCAUUAAAAUUUCCUGGUGUUUCUACUUUCCAGGAUCUUCUUAUGAGUGCAUGGGGACUGCUGUGGACCUUAACCUGUUUAUAAAAAUAUACCUUGGAGCAUGACACUUUAUUCAUAAAAGUCAUCAACAUGGAAGAUAUGUUUUGUUCCUAACCAUCUAUAAUCCAUUCUCUAUGAAGUUCAGCCUGUCUGCUCUUCCUUUGGAAAUACACAGUUAGUCAAUCAACAUAGAAACACACAAACUUGAAGGAUUCUCAAUGGGGAACUCAGUAAAUUAUGCACAGACUAACAGAAUAUACUCUCUUGGAACACUGAUACAAGAAUAUAAAACCAGAGAUGGAUGGAGGACUCAAGAAGCACAUGAAUAAAUAUGAUUCCAAACUAAGUCAAUCAUGAUGAUCAUGAAUUGUGGUUCACAGGAUAAGAGAGAAAGGACCCAGGAUUGUGCAUUUUUCUAGAUCCUCUCCCAUUCAUAUCCUUCAUAUGCUGGCAUACAAAACAAUAGAUAAAUUGUAGUCAUUUAACAGACUGAAGUUUAAUCAAAUCAAAGUAUUGAAAAUGUGUUUUUCUGAUAGUAUGAGAUCUUCAAAAAAAUAAUUCUCACAGAUUUCAAAGUAUCUAAAUAUAACUUUUAAUUUAUGUAGUACAAAUUGAAUACAGUUGUUAUGUAUGACUUUUAUACAUUGAAUCCUUAAUUUUUCAUCUUAUAUCUACAACACCCCUAGAAAAUACACAGAUAUUCAGAAGCUA
Long non-coding RNA from Saccostrea cuccullata (small rock oyster), 1361 nucleotides. RefSeq lists it as uncharacterized. The transcript is spliced from 6 exons. Lineage: Eukaryota; Metazoa; Mollusca; Bivalvia; Ostreida; Ostreidae. The record is from RefSeq and is a predicted model, not a curated record.